AUAACUAGCCGAAAGGUUAGCUAAUACCGCAUACGAGUCUCGGGGGCAUCCCUGGGCCUUAAAAGGAGCAAUCCGCUCGAUGACGGGACCGCGUCCAUUAGCUAGAUGGUGGGGUAACGGCCUACCAUGGCACCGAUGGGUAGCUGGUUUGAGAGAGCGACCAGCCACACUGGGACUGAGAAACGGCCCAGACUC
Molecule: ribosomal RNA, 195 nt
Filed under: unidentified
Description: partial 16S ribosomal RNA
Rfam family: Bacterial small subunit ribosomal RNA
Source: RNAcentral